RNAcentral lists this ribosomal RNA (374 nucleotides) under uncultured organism. RNAcentral describes it as "partial 16S ribosomal RNA". It matches the Rfam family "Bacterial small subunit ribosomal RNA", at positions 527 to 896 of the family's 1533-position model. The record is from RNAcentral.
GUAGGUGGCAAGCGUUGUCCGGAAUUAUUGGGCGUGAAGCGCGCGCAGGUGGUUCUUUAAGUCUGAUGUGAAAGCCCCCGGCUCAACCGGGGAGGGUCAUUGGAAACUGGGGAACUUGAGUGCAGGAGAGGAAAGUGGAAUUCCACGUGUAGCGGUGAAAUGCGUAGAUAUGUGGAGGAACACCAGUGGCGAAGGCGACUUUCUGGCCUGUAACUGACACUGAGGCGCGAAAGCGUGGGGAGCAAACAGGGAUUAGAUACCCUGGUAGUCCACGCCGUAAACGAUGAGUGCUAAGUGUUGGGGGGGUUUCCCGCCCCUCAGUGCUGCAGCUAACGCAUUAAGCACUCCGCCUGGGGAGUACGGUCGCAAGACUG